AGGAUAAACGCUGGCGGCGUGCCUAACACAUGCAAGUCGAACGUCCUUGCGGUCUUCUUCUUCGGAGGAGGACCGCGAGGGAGUGGCGGACGGGUGAGUAACACAUGGGUACCUGCCUUUCAGUGAGGAAUACCGGCGAGAAAUCGCCGACAAGACCGCAUAGGCUUCCUUCGGUAGCCCGAGGGAAGCAAAGUUACUUCGCGAGAGGUGACGCUGGAAGAGGGGCCUGUGGCCGAUUAGCUAGUUGGGGGGUAACGGCCUCCCAAGGCGACGAUCGGUAGCUGGUCUGAGAGGACGAUCAGCCACACUGGGAUUGAGAACGGCCCAGACUCCUACGGGGGGCAGCAGUGAGGAAUUUCCGCAAUGGACGAAAGUCUGACGGAGCAACGCCGCGUGCAGGAGGAAGGUUUUCGGAUCGUAAACUGCUUUUCUCGGGGACGAGCAAGGACGGUACCCGAGGAACGAAGCCCCGGCUAACUACGUGCCAGCAGCCGU
Molecule: ribosomal RNA, 495 nt
Filed under: uncultured bacterium
Lineage: Bacteria
Description: SSU rRNA
Rfam family: Bacterial small subunit ribosomal RNA
Source: RNAcentral